This is a long non-coding RNA of Canis lupus familiaris (dog), 4688 nucleotides long. RefSeq lists it as uncharacterized. The transcript is spliced from 3 exons. Lineage: Eukaryota; Metazoa; Chordata; Mammalia; Carnivora; Canidae. The record is from RefSeq and is a predicted model, not a curated record.
AAUCAGAUGAAAACUGCAGUAGUUAUUGAACUUCAGAUAAACAAGGCUUUAUAAAGAAAGCAUUAAGAAGUAGCUCUUUUAAACUCAUGCUUCAAUUUCACUCACUAUAAAUUGAAUCCUUGUUUUAAAAGAUUUCCAUCCUUCUCAGAGACUAGCCCUUUAAAUAACAGUUAAAAGUUGUGGACUCUGAGAUCAAAUGCCGCAUGAAAUUCUACCACUAUCACUCAAAGUUGUAUAUAUUUGGGCACAUUUCUUAAGCUCUCCAUGCUUCGGUUUCCCCAACUGUAUUAUAGAGCAAGGAUAAUAGCAGAUACCUUAUGUGGUGAGGAUUUAGUCCUUAAAAAUGCUGAAGAAAAACAGGUGCCAUCUUUUUCUAUCAGACCUAAGAUUUUCUCUAUAGCAGUUUCACUUCUGAUAUUUCAACUGAUAAGAAAGGAAAAAAGGAAGAAAAAUAAAGAAGAAAGAAAGGAAGAAAAAAAUUUUAAAAGGAAGGAAGGAAAGGAGGGAGAGUAGGAAGGAUAGGUAGAUGGAGAGAAGAAAGAAGGAAACAAAAUGUAAUGCAUGAAAAAUCUCUGCAUCACUGAAGCCAAGAAAUAUCUGCCUGCAGUUCUCCAGAGAGCUUCCACAUCAAGAGCCGUCCCCGAAAAUUAUUGGUGGUUCUUUUUAUGGUGAGAGAGAAGCAAAUACCUCCUCCACAAAGACCACCGCACCAUGAGGCUUGCUCCUUAAGUGAGGAAGAAGGAAAUGAUGCUGAGAAGUAAUUCUUACAAGAGGUAGAACAUCACCCCUGAGGGGGCAUUUUGGAAAACUGUAGGGCUCUUUUGUUAUUGUUGUCACACAAUGCUUGGAGGCUGCAUUUUACAUGUAAUGAGUAGAGUCCCGGGAUUCUAGACAGAGCGAGUGACCCAAUUUUUUGAAAUAAAGUAGAAUCCUAAGCCACAGAAGACAUUCAUGCAGGAAGAAAACUUGUUUAAAGUCAUCUUGAGCCUGGAACCUACCUCCAUCUGACAUUAAAGACAAAAAGUAUUUUUGCCCUCUUUUAAUACAUACUAAACUUUCUAAAAGUGUUACAACCUACAGAAUAAGUUAUAGGAAAGUCAUACUUUGUUUCACUUGCAACUUUAUUGUGAUUGGUCAGUGUUUCAGAAUAUCAUCAACAAAGUACUCAUGGAAUUUGAGUCUCUAUACAGAAUUUAUAAUAAUUUCAUGCAGGAAGAUUCUGCAUGUAGACUGUACCAAUGGACUGAUUCAGUAGGUCUUUCCUUGUAAUAUGACUAAGCACUUGUUUACAUUUUGAAAUACAUAAAGGAUAAAUUACUUGUUUUAUUUCUCUAUUUAUUAUAGUUAAGAUAUGAUAUGGAUUUUUUGAAGUUAUGUGAGGAGAGUUAUGUUAUCUAUGAUUUCCACUUCAGAAUAGCAAAGGUAGGGGCACAAAUUAUUUAUUAUUGAAGGGUAUAUUGUGUCUGAUAGGAUGACAAUGACUCCAGCCCUUGGAGUGUGAGUAUGACAAGGGAGCACAGAGUAAGGAAGCAGAUGCCAGGUAGAGUCCUGGAUUUUCCUCCACCUCAGGGCUCACAUUUUCAACCUAGUGUGUCAUAGACACAUCCAGAUGGGUGAGGGAGCUUCACAUCACUGUAUCAGUGGCAUGCUUCACUGAGUAGUUAGAAGAGGGGUUGUCAAUAUCUAGGAGAAUCCUCAUACCCAGCAUGGCCCAGUAGCUAGGGAGCUGAAAUGGCAGGAGGAGAUAGGGAAGCCUGAGGCAGCAUUUCUGCUUCUUAUUUCCUAUAUUCAGAAGUUCCUACAUUCUCAGCUGAGAAACCACAGAGCUUUGAAGAGAGUUGAUGAAUCUGCAGAGGGCUAAUCUUAGAGCAAAGAGAAGCAGCAGGGUGGGAAGUUGUAACAGAGAGCCGAGCAGUGGGUACCACCUGUCACCCCAAGUCUUUGAAACUGAACAAUCAUCCAUCCAAGAAACAGAGUAAAUGAAUUACUCUGAAGUCAGACCUGUAAAAAUGCAGAAGGAGCUGGCAUCUCUUUCCCUCUUCUGGCAUGAGCUCACAUACAUCUACACACCAAAAGGUGGGAAAAAUAUGAUCCUGGGCAUUUUACCUAGAGAUGCUAAGUAUUUAUAUGCAGAUACUAAGUGAAGAUACUGAGUUCACUUGAGCAUCCUGGACUGGAUUAAGUCUAAUGCUUUUCCUUGUUAUCCAGUGGAAUAGCACAUCAGUUAUUAGGAAAAUGCAAAAUUUGCAUUGUUUUUACUACUUAAAUGCAGCAAAAGUGAAAUUACAACCUGGCGGCAAAUGUAAAUAUUUUAAGACACUGUUUUUAUUUUUGGAUGGAAGGAAGAUUUUAGAAGCAAGAGUUUACUGGGCACUUGAGGUCAAAGGGGGAUAUCUCUAAGUUGGGAGGUAGCAGAGAAAGGGGAAUUUCCAGACACAAGCCAAGUGUUUUCACUUGACAGUUUUGCCUUGGGCCUAUCCUGUUCGCCUUUAUCUAGGCUCAGAUAACUGGAAGCUGAGGCCAAAGGCUUGUCCUUUGUUCUGCAUGACAGGGUCCAGCCUAAGCAAGAAUUAUAUUAGAAUCUAUUAUAGGGAAAGGGGAGGAAGAGAAAGGACACAGCUUUGUGGAAGUAUUUUUCUUCUAAAAUUCUUCUGCAUGAUUUUGCUUCCCAAAUAUAGUUCUAAGAUGUGUAUGAGUUCCUUUAAUUUUUUCUCCCUUUAUUAUCUGUUUUUUCUUCUUUCCUGCUCUAAGCAUUCUUGUUUUUAUUGAUUUUGGACUUCAACCACGGUGCAUUUUGUGGGAAAUGGAGAGAGUUUUAAGAGUGAGUCAAUAAAUUUAGUGCUAGGACAGAGGAAACACACUCAACAGAGGGUUAUGGCCAACCUAUUUGCCUACAUUCUCAAUUUACUGUGCUAGGGAUUUGGUUUAAGUUGUGGAUAAAGAUAUUUAAUGAUUUUAGGAAAGCAUAUGCAGAUGCCAGUCACAGGAAUUUAGAUAUCAAAAAGAAGGGGUUUAUUUAGACAUUCAACAAAUAUUUAUUGCACAAUAAAUACUCUAGCUGUUGGUGAUACAACAAUGAAAAGGAAAAAAACCAGAUAUUGUUCCUCUUUUCAUGAGGUUUUAAUUUUGUGUGGGGAAGAGAAACAAUAAACAAAUAAGUAAAAAAUAAAUAAUAUGUGUGUGUCCAGUGACACUAGCACUAUAAAGAAAAACACAGCAGGUUAGUGGAUUAAUAGUGAUUGCCUAGGAAGGGAGAGCACAUAGCCAUUUUUAAGAAGUCCUUUUCUGAGAAUGUGACAUUUGGGAAGAGACCUAAGUGAAAUAGGGACCUAAUGACUCUGAUGUUUAGAGAGUAUCUUUUCAGGUAGAGACUAGCAAAUACAAAGGCCCUCAGGCAAGAGUGUGCCUGGGAUAUUCAAAGACAGCAAGGAGUCUAUGUGGCUAGAACAGGGUGAUGAAAGAGGGGAGUCAUGACUCAGUUGGCAAUAAUCAAGUCAGGGUCGUGCCUCAGAAACCACUGAAAAGACAUUUCCCCCCACUGAGUGAUUAGGAUGCCAUGGAGUUUUGUUGAGCAGAGCAGUGAAAUAAUCUGAUCUAGGUUUUAGCCAAAUCAAUUUGGCUGCUGUAUUGAGAGUAUCAGGAAAAAAACAGAAGUUAAGAGGACAUUGAUAUAGGAGCAGGAUGGAAAUAGAUAUCUUAGAUGAUGACAAUAUAAAAUGUGUCCAGAAGGAAGUAGUAGUUGACUACUUGCUGCUAGGAAGGUAAGUAAGGUUGUCCACUGGAUUUGGCAACACGGGAAAGCAUGAUGUUGACAAGAGCUGUUUCCAUAGAGUUGGGGUUGAAAUACUGCUUGGAGUGCUUUCAGGAGACUAGGGGAGGAAGUGGAGACAUUAAUAGAGACAAAAUUUUUAUCAGUUUUAUGUAAAAGAGCAGAAAUGAAAAAGUGAGGGGAGAAAUAGAAGAUGGGAUCUAAAAUGAGGAUGUAAGAUCAAGGAACGUUUGUUUUGAUUUGUUUGUUUUAAGAUGGGAGUUAUACCACAUUCUUGUAUUGAUUAUUCCACUAGAUAAGGGAUAAGUGAUGGCUCAAGGGAGGUUAGGAACAUUUAAAAAACAAAACAAAGUCCUUGAGUAAGGCAAGUGAGAUGGGGGUCUAGUGCAAACACCCUGGUGAGGUUAUAUGGAGGAGAUGACUUUAUCUUUUUUCUGCUUAAUGAUGUAUAAUGGACAAAUAGAAAUUGUAUAUAUUUCAGGUGUACAAUUUAAUGCUUUGAUAUAUGUAUACACUGUGAAAUGACCACUGCAAUCAAACUGAUUAACAUACCUACCACCUCACGUAGUUAUUGCUUUUCUGUGUGUAGUAAGAACACUUAAGAGCUAUUCUUGGCAAAUGUCAAGCAUACAAUAUAGUAUUAUUAACUGUAGUCACCAUACUGUAUAUUAGAUCUGUAGAACUUAUAUUCAUCUUGCACAAUCAAAACUUUGUAUCCUUUGACCAACAUUUCCCAUUUCUCCCAACUCCUGGAAACCACCAUUCUACUCUAUGUAAGUUCAACUAUUUUAGAUUCCAUGUAUAAAUGAGAUCAUGCAGUGUUUGUCUUUUGUGUCUGGCUUAUUUCAUUUAGCAUAAUGUCCUCCAGGUUCAUCCAGGCUAUCACAGAUGUCAAGAUUUCCUUCCUUAUCUGUUAUAU